RNAcentral lists this ribosomal RNA (245 nucleotides) under uncultured Porphyromonadaceae bacterium. RNAcentral describes it as "partial 16S ribosomal RNA". It matches the Rfam family "Bacterial small subunit ribosomal RNA", at positions 524 to 769 of the family's 1533-position model. Lineage: Bacteria; Pseudomonadati; Bacteroidota; Bacteroidia; Bacteroidales; Porphyromonadaceae. The record is from RNAcentral.
UACGGAGGAUGCGAGCGUUAUCCGGAUUUAUUGGGUUUAAAGGGUGCGCAGGCGGCGCGUCAAGUCAGCGGUUAAAAUUCGGGGCUCAACCCCGUCGUGCCGUUGAAACUGACGUGCUCGAGUGCGGCGGACGGCGCCGGAAUGCGUGGUGUAGCGGUGAAAUGCAUAGAUAUCACGCAGAACUCCGAUUGCGAAGGCAGGCGCCGAUGCCGCCACUGACGCUCAUGCACGAAAGCGUGGGUAUC